UACGUAGGGACCAAGCGUUGUUCGGAUUUACUGGGCGUAAAGGGCGCGUAGGCGGCUUAACAAGUCACUUGUGAAAUCUCCGGGCUUAACUCGGAACGGCCAAGUGAAACUGUCAAGCUAGAGUGCAGAAGGGGCAAUCGGAAUUCUUGGUGUAGCGGUGAAAUGCGUAGAUAUCAAGAGGAACACCUGAGGUGAAGACGGGUGGCUGGGCUGACACUGACGCUGAGGCGCGAAAGCCAGGGGAGCAAACGGG
RNAcentral lists this ribosomal RNA (253 nucleotides) under uncultured bacterium. RNAcentral describes it as "partial 16S ribosomal RNA". It matches the Rfam family "Bacterial small subunit ribosomal RNA", at positions 524 to 776 of the family's 1533-position model. The record is from RNAcentral.